GUGCUCGCUUAAGCAGCACAUAUACUAAAAUUGGAAUAAUACAGAGAAGAUUAGAAUAGCCCCUGUGCAAGGAUGACACGCAAAUUCUUGAAGUGUACCAUAUUAAA
RNAcentral lists this small nuclear RNA (107 nucleotides) under Dasypus novemcinctus (nine-banded armadillo). The record is from RNAcentral. Lineage: Eukaryota; Metazoa; Chordata; Mammalia; Cingulata; Dasypodidae.